GGGGCCGUAGCUCAGUUGGAAGAGCGCUUGAAUGGCAUUCAAGAGGUCGUCGGUUCGAUCCCGAUCGGCUCCACCA
RNAcentral lists this transfer RNA (76 nucleotides) under Opitutia bacterium. RNAcentral describes it as "tRNA-Ala". It matches the Rfam family "tRNA". From Rfam's summary of the family: Transfer RNA (tRNA) molecules are approximately 80 nucleotides in length. Their secondary structure includes four short double-helical elements and three loops (D, anti-codon, and T loops). Lineage: Bacteria; Pseudomonadati; Verrucomicrobiota; Opitutia. The record is from RNAcentral. RNAcentral also lists the same sequence under 2 other names.